AACGAACGCUGGCGGCAGGCCUAACACAUGCAAGUCGAGCGGACCCUUCGGGGUUAGCGGCGGAUGGGUGUGUAACGCGUGGGAAUAUGCCCUUCUCUACGGAAUAGUCCUGGGAAACUGGGGGUAAUACCGUAUACGCCCUUUGGGGGAAAGAUUUAUCGGGGAAGGAUUAGCCCGCGUUGGAUUAGGUAGUUGGUGGGGUAAUGGCCUACUAAGCCGACGAUUCAUAGCUGGUUUGAGAGGAUGAUCAGCCACACUGAGACUGAGACACGGCCCAGACUCCUACGGGAGGCAGCAGUGGGGAAUCUUAGAAAGUGGGGGGAACCAUGAACGAGCCAUGCCGGGUGAGUGAUGAAGGCCUUAGGGUUGUAAAGCUCUUUCAGCUGGGAAGAUAAUGACGGUACCAGCAGAAGAAGCCCCGGCUAACUCCGUG
This 433-nucleotide ribosomal RNA is filed under the name uncultured bacterium. RNAcentral's name for it is "partial 16S ribosomal RNA". It matches the Rfam family "Bacterial small subunit ribosomal RNA", at positions 29 to 507 of the family's 1533-position model. The record is from RNAcentral.